This 253-nucleotide ribosomal RNA is filed under the name uncultured prokaryote. Its description in RNAcentral is "partial 16S ribosomal RNA". It matches the Rfam family "Bacterial small subunit ribosomal RNA", at positions 524 to 776 of the family's 1533-position model. The record is from RNAcentral.
UACGGAGGAUGCAAGCGUUAUCCGGAAUGAUUGGGCGUAAAGCGUCCGUAGGUGGUAUUUCAAGUCUGCUGUCAAAGAGUCUGGCUCAACCAGAUAAAGACAGUGGAAACUGAAAAACUAGAGUGCGUUCGGGGUAGAGGGAAUUCCUGGUGUAGCGGUGAAAUGCGUAGAGAUCAGGAAGAACACCGGUGGCGAAGGCGCUCUACUAGGCCGCAACUGACGCUGAGGGACGAAAGCUAGGGGAGCGAAUGGG